RNAcentral lists this long non-coding RNA (528 nucleotides) under Vitis vinifera (wine grape). RNAcentral describes it as "long non-coding RNA (VVIN_LNC004292)". The record is from RNAcentral. Lineage: Eukaryota; Viridiplantae; Streptophyta; Magnoliopsida; Vitales; Vitaceae.
UUCUUUAGUUUUUACCAUUAUCUUUGUUGGAUUAUACUCCUAUACUAAUGUGGUCUUCAAAUUCCACAAAUAAGCUAUACCUGAACUGGAAACUGAGAGGAUGACUAAACCAUCAUCUUCAUUCCAACCAUGCUUGCAUUCAAAUACUACUGGAGGAUGUUUCAUGGAAAGAACAGGCCCUUUACUGACAGUCUUGCUAUUCAAAUCACAGUUCCACACUUGAAGAUGUUUCUCACCAAACCCAGAUGUAACAAUGGUAUUGGCAUCAUUAGAUAUCCAGAUACUCUGCACAGACUCCAAAUCAUUAGGGAACUUCAGAAGUUCUUUCCCAUUUUCCAAGCUUAGAACCCGUAUCUUGCUACCAGCUAUGGCUAACAUUUUCUCGUCGCUAGAAAAAACUAAAGAAGAGAUCGACUUCUUUGAAGCUUUGAACUCUCCUAUAAGUUCUCCAUUUUCUUAUUUCAAUGUUGAGACCAUUCCAUUAGUACCCACUACAUGAAGAAUACGCCCUUUAUUUGCAAAAGAAAG